This 730-nucleotide ribosomal RNA is filed under the name uncultured bacterium. Its description in RNAcentral is "bacterial SSU rRNA". It matches the Rfam family "Bacterial small subunit ribosomal RNA", at positions 771 to 1501 of the family's 1533-position model. The record is from RNAcentral.
AACAGGAUUAGAUACCCUGGUAGUCCACGCCGUAAACGAUGUCGACUUGGAGGUUGUGCCCUUGAGGCGUGGCUUCCGGAGCUAACGCGUUAAGUCGACCGCCUGGGGAGUACGGCCGCAAGGUUAAAACUCAAAUGAAUUGACGGGGGCCCGCACAAGCGGUGGAGCAUGUGGUUUAAUUCGAUGCAACGCGAAGAACCUUACCUACUCUUGACAUCCAGAGAACUUAGCAGAGAUGCUUUGGUGCCUUCGGGAACUCUGAGACAGGUGCUGCAUGGCUGUCGUCAGCUCGUGUUGUGAAAUGUUGGGUUAAGUCCCGCAACGAGCGCAACCCUUAUCCUUUGUUGCCAGCGGUUAGGCCGGGAACUCAAAGGAGACUGCCAGUGAUAAACUGGAGGAAGGUGGGGAUGACGUCAAGUCAUCAUGGCCCUUACGAGUAGGGCUACACACGUGCUACAAUGGCAUAUACAAAGAGAAGCGACCUCGCGAGAGCAAGCGGACCUCAUAAAGUAUGUCGUAGUCCGGAUUGGAGUCUGCAACUCGACUCCAUGAAGUCGGAAUCGCUAGUAAUCGUGGAUCAGAAUGCCACGGUGAAUACGUUCCCGGGCCUUGUACACACCGCCCGCCACACCAUGGGAGUGGGUUGCAAAAGAAGUAGGUAGCUUAACCUUCGGGAGGGCGCUUACCACUUCGUGAUUCAUGACUGGGGUGAAGUCGUAACAAGGUAACC